AGGGGAGAUUGUGGAGUGAUUGAUUAAAACCCCAUUUGAUUUUGAUGAGCUCAAAGCAUUUGAGUAUAUCUUUUGAUUACUAAUGAAUUCAAUUGAGUGUUUCAGUGAAAAUCCUGUCUAAGUGUCCCAAGACUUGGUUCAUAAUUUUUGGAUAAGUUAAGGAGUCUGUUUGAACCAAUGUCUGAGACUCGAGUCGACUCCCGAGUAUCACGAGUCGACUCCAAGCGUAUCAAGUUCACUGGCACAAGCUCGAGUCGACUCCAGAUCAGUACGAGUCGACUCCGACUGAGAACAUAAAGAAGAACAGAAAGCUUCAUCUCAGAACCUGUCAACGAGUCGACUCCUGAAGUGCGCGAGUCGACUCCAUUGUUCACCGAGUCGACUCCAGGGAAGUAAGAGUCGACUCCAAGCAGUCACAGGCAGAAAAGUCAGAGAGCAGUUUUCGGGUCUGAGAUUCGAGUCGACUCCAGUGGAAUGCGAGUCGACUCCGAUGGUGGGCAGGUCGACUCCAAAGAA
This 516-nucleotide long non-coding RNA is filed under the name Phoenix dactylifera (date palm). RNAcentral's name for it is "long non-coding RNA (PDAC_LNC021149)". Lineage: Eukaryota; Viridiplantae; Streptophyta; Magnoliopsida; Arecales; Arecaceae. The record is from RNAcentral.